UUUUUUUUUUUCUUUUUUUUUUUUAAAGAUUUAUUUAUUUCAUGUAUGUGAGUACACUAUCGAUGUCUUCAGACACACCAGAAGAGGGCGUCUGGCCCCAUUAUAAAUGGUUGUGAGCCACCAUGUGGUUGCUGGGAAUUGAACUCGGGGCCUCUGGAAGAGCAAUCAGUGCUCUUACCCUCUGAGCCAUUUCUCCAGCCCCUGCUUUGUCCUGACUCUGCAUAAUGGACUACAUGUUGUAAAUGGAAACAAUUCCUUUUUUCUCCAAGUUGAUUUUGGUCAGUGUUUUAUCACAGGAAUAGAAAUCCUAAGUGCGACUUCAAUGAAGAUUAUGAAUUAAGAAAUAAAGCUGAUGUAGGUGCAAGAAAUGAAAUGGUGUUUGGUGGAGGUGGGGGUAAAUUGCGAGAUGGCAUUUUAGUGAUCCUGAGCCUUGUCAGCUUGAGUCUCGACGAGUGAGGAGGGCAGGCGUUCCUGCUGCUGUUCCUCCUCUCAGUGUCUUGAGCUUCUCUUCUCCGACCCUGCUCAUCCUUUACCUUGUGAAUAUGGGGCCACAGAGGCCAGAAGAGGGCAUCUGAAGUUACAGGAGGCUGUGAGCCUCCUGAUGUGGGUGCUGGGAACUGAGUCCGGUCCUCUAGAAGAGCAGUACAGGCUCUUAACUCCUGAGCAUCAUCUCCCUCACACUGGACUUGCAUUGGAAAGUUCUCCCCAGAGGCGGAAUUGUAGGUCUUUUAAAGCUAAGGUGUUUGACAGGUGCCCACAGCUGAGGGUGAAUAAGAUUCUGAGUUCUGCUGUGUGCAGCAGAGUCCUCAUCAAUCAAUCCCCUUCACUGGGCUGACUGAGACAGCUGUCCCUAAGGUAACUCGGAACUUGAGACUAAGGGGCAGGCAGGGGUGAGUGCUAGGUGGGUGGGUAGAGGCAUAGAGGGGAUUUUUCUAUACAUAAGAAGAAGAACCAGAUGAAGCAGGUCUUUACAUGGGUGUUUGGCAUUCAGCUAGAAACAUCACCUUUCCGUCCCACAGUGACAUCAGCUGGUAUUUGAGGCUAGUUAUUAGUGUGCCCAGUGAGCCAGCUCAGUGUUUUUAAAAUGAAGUCUGAAAGCAUGAUUUGCUCAGUUUCACUUCACUACUGCUCACUACCACUCACAUAUAGUUAGUGGCAGUUUAGUUGAAGCUGUCUUUUCGUUGUGUGAGUAGUAGACUGUAAACAGUGCUCUGAGAACACACGUCUUCAGAAUGUCCGUAUUUGAUGUCUGAGUGGUUGGUGGGAGACCUGAUGUUUGUGUUCUGCUGGGGAGAGAUCUGCACUCAUUUAAACAGGGAAACCCAGUCCUUUUCUAGGCAGACAUUUCUUUUUUUUUUCUUUUUUCUUUUCUAGGGGUUAAUAAUCUUCUUAUGUUUUACCUUUCAGCCAAAGAUAUGGACCUGUUUGUUUUAUAUAAAUAUUAUUAACUAUAUUUUUUCAAAUUAUAGAAAAUAAUUUCCAUGCCAGCAUUUAUUUAUUUAUUUAUUUAUUUAUUUAUUUAUUUAUUUAUUUAUUUAUUUAUUUGAGACAGGGUUUCUCUGUGUAGCCCUCACUGUCCUAGAACUCACUCUGUAGACCAGGCUGGCCUCAAACACAGAAAUCCGCCUGUCCCUUGCAAGCACCACCACUGCCUGGCACAUUUUUGGAUCUUUAGUUUUGAAUUUUGUUCUUCUUUUUUUUUUUUUCCCAAAUACUUAAUCCUGUUUUCCCCUUAAAGUGUAUUUUUUUUUUCUGGAAGAUGUGUGUAGAUUCUCUUCUUUGCAGACUUUGGGGGUCUAUAUUUGUUGGGGGAACUAAGACACUGUACUUUUACCAUCCAGUAAGCUGUUUUGUUAAUACUACAUGAAUCUUAGCAAGUUAAAUGUGACUUUCAGGAUGAGAGAGGUCAGAUCUUUGAGCAGACUCCUGAAUUUCAUUCUCCUCUGGUUUUCAUAUUUCUACCUUCUGUACAUUUAAGAGUGAAACACAAAGCUUCCUAAGCUGUGCUUUUUAGCUGUGGACUGGCCCAUGUGGCUCAGGCCUUAGAUAAAACCAGAAAUAAUCGUCAGGUCGUAGUUUUCUAGUGAACUGUUGCAUGGGGUUGAAAUGUGGCUGUAUGUAGGCUUCUUGUUUUCCUGCUUGUAGAAUGAUGAUAAUUGUACUGCCUCCAGGACUGUGGUAGCUGCAAGGUGAUGUGUGUGUUGGCUGCCUUCUUAGAGCUAGGGCAUAAUAAUUUGUGAUCCAGCACCGAUCAGCUUGAUGAUAAAAGCACGUUGGCAGUUAUCUCAUAAAGUGUGGUGCUUAUGUGACAUUUUGGUCAUGGCAAGGAAAGCCGCACAGCAUCGUGAAUGGCGUUUACAGUAGAGUAGAAGCACCCGCUUUCCAAAGUGAUCAUGCGGGGGUCCAGGGUUCUUAAAGGGAAACUUAGAAUCUCUUCUCAUUUCGCCUCUUUGCUCAUUACACAGUCUCGUACUGUGCAGAUUGCUGCAGGUCUUCUCACCAAAUGAGUUUUGUAUCUCUAAGUUAAUUUUCUGCCAGAAUCACUUGAGGCUGAUGACCGGUGUUUGCGUAGCCAUUAAGCACACUGCCAGGAUAUGUCCACUCCUUUCCACCGCUCCCAUUAAACAGCUGUCACAGAUUUGCAGAUCUGCCCCCUUGCUCUGCAUUAAUUGUAGGGAAUCAUAGGGUACAGUGUAAGCUGACCUGUGGAGGAGUUGGUCAGGUUGUCGUCAGUGCUCGGAAGGGAAAUGCAAAUCUGUCAUCUGGUGGAUCAGAUUUAUUAGAGCUUCAUAGUUACAUAACUAGAAAAGAUAGGGAAGGAAUUGAAUUGUUCGAAUGCUGGGCCUUGGUGAACCUUUCCUUGCUUCAUUCCAGAACUUGCAGCCAGUAAUAUUUAACAGUUCUGAGCAGCACAUAUUGGAGGAGUCUCGGGUUAGAAGCUCUCAUUAAAGUUGUAUAUAGCACCCUGCUGAGCUUUACAAUUGGUUUUGAAAUGAAAAUCUGUUAGAUUAGAGCAAAUAUUAUCCUAGCUGUGGUGAUAAGUAAUGUGGAAAAGAUUAAUGGUUUGUCUGUGAAGCCAGUGAGCAUUGAGCCUGCUGCUUCAGUGCCCUGUUUGAAAAGGUUGGGGUGAGAGAGGAAUCAGAAGAAAGGAGGAUGGUGAUUCCACAGCCCCUUCCCCUUGAUAACACCAAGGCAGCUUUAAGUUUCAGUUAUUCCCACAAGGAUAAGGUAGACCCUGGUAGGACCUGGCUCUGUCAGUGGAAUUGAAAAGCUGUGCUUCUGUCCUGUCCGCGGAUAUACUUCCCUUCUUCUCCUCAGGUAGGUGGUGGUCUGUGAUCUCUCUCAGGAACAGACACCUGAGGAUCAUGGGUAAACAUGAGCAGCAGCAGAGGGAACGUCUCACUUCCUCACCCAUGACACACACCACAUUGGAGGUGAUGGGGAUGCCGGCACCACCUAAGAUUUCACUCCACAGAGCUGCCAAGGGCGGCCCUUGAUUCCUCCGUCCAGUUACAAGCACUCUGUUCUCUGAGACCAUCUGUUGAAGCAAGGAGAGUAGCGUCCACACUGUUGAGUGCAGUGUGCCCUGGCAGAGCAGGGUGGUUUUGGCAUUUGGUGAGCCCUCAGCACCUGUACAGCAUAGUGGACUUAGGACAGUGUCCCCACCUUCCUGACCUUGGCAUUUGGAAGUUAAGUAUCUCCUUAACAACACUAAAUUAAUUAAUUAAUUAAUUAAUUUAUGUUAGAUUUCUUAAAGUAUGACAUCCUGUAAGCUCUUAUUCAAAGUUUUCUGUAUCAGCAGCACCCUCCCCCCCCAGGAUCUUGUUAGAGAAAUGCAGGUCAGACCCGGUCACUGACCUGUGACAUAAGUCAAGGAGAACCAGCAUUUAGCCGAGACCAUAGAAUUACUGCAGGUCAGAGUUUGAGAAGCUCUGUGGUGAGCCACACUUGCUUUUUUGAAAUAAGCAUCAAUGUAUUUUUCUUUUUGUCCAAAGCAAACAAGAAGGCUGUUAAGAAAACAGAAGGAGAAGCUUCUGAUUGUGAGUUUAGUGUCAGUGCAGCUCUGUGCUGCUCGGGACUGCGUCUCCUCCUUCAUGGAGAUGCUGCUUAUAGAUGCAGUUACUUCUCCCUACGCCUACAGCACACACAGGCCAGCUCUUUGCAGGCAUUUAAGAAACAACAGCUACUAUCUAUUAAGUGUUUUAUUGUGUUCCAGACACUAUACUAAAUUUAUAAAGUAAUUUACCUUACCUGAUGGUGAUGAUAGUGAUGGAUGUCCAUCUUUUCCUGUAAAGACUACCACCUACCUCAUUGGAGACAUCAUCUGUCUUUGGCCUAGAGUUUACCAAUAGGCUACACUGGAUUUCGGGCAAACUUCAAGGGCCCUCCCCUCUCUGCUUCUGUAGUAUUGGCCUUAAAAGUGUGGCAAUCACAAACACGUACCACCACAUCUAGCAUUUUUUAAUGUGGUUUCUGCGGAUUGAACUCAGGUCUUCACUUUACCAAUUGAGCUUUUCCUCAAUUGAGCUUUCCCCCCCUCUCUUUUUUUUUUAAAAAUGAGGAAGUAGACCCAGAGAACUUAAAGGAACUUUGUUAGUUCACUUAGCUCCUAAAUCUUAAUGAAAUGCAGAGUGGUUUGUUUGAAUGUAAAGACUAAGUAGCUUGCAUUUCUUUCCCUCAGCCUGUUUCUACUGGCAAGCACAGAGUGCACACUUUUCAUUGACUUGGACUGAGCAACUUUAGGACCGCUUGGUGCUUUGGUCCUAUUGGACAAAGCAUGUUUUGAUAAUAGGAGAUGAGCGUUCUGGUGUAGCUCUGCCCCUGACUGUCUGGUGUCUCUUGCCCUUGGUUGCCCUGCAGAUAGGUGUGUCUCCUUCCACAGAGUAUGAUUUGCAGGACAUGUUAUCUGUACCACCAAACACUCAGCAUGAGUCUGUAAAGCAAGGAGGCUUUACAGAUGAGACAGUCAGAUGCUGAGCAGAGGUUGGGGGAUUCUUCAUUGUUUUUAUUCAGAAAACUUGACUGGCGAGGGACCUGUGCUUGUGUGUGAGGCGUAUUUUAAGGCAGACAUCCCUCUCUUUGUUGGGAAUAGUGGAUCUGAUUGACGCAUCAGUCACUGUUGUCAGUUACAGUUUAGUACUUUAAAAAGUCAUGAAAACAGAGGUACACGAAGUGACACAUAUGUUAAUGAGCUUGAUUUAGCCAUAGCAUAGUACCUAUUUUAGAAUAACAUUGUGUAUGAUAAAAUACGUAACUUUCUCAAUUUAAAAUAUUCAGAAAAAAAUUGAAAAGUUUUACAGUGUAUACUAGGCAACAAGGAAGCACUUUGGCAAGAAAAAAAAAUAACCAAAGAGUAAGAUCUGUUUCAUAUACUUAUAGGAAAAAUGUCAUUGCUUGUGAAAAAUAAGAAUUAGGUCAGGACAAAAUAUAGCUUCAGUGUUUUAAGUAAGUGGUAGCUGCACUUGCUCUCUGCCCAGGCUUUGGUCUCUAGUAUGUGUUCUCACUAGUAAGCGUCUCCAUCAAUACAGCAAAAGAAAAACUUUUUAGAGUUUUCAUGAUAUUCACCAGUUGAAGACAUCGUUAUAAUAAUAUGCCUUUUCCAAAAAUUCAUUGCUCAACCUGGUAGUUCUGCUAAAGCGAAUGUGUACCCAAAAGAAUUGAACCCUAAGUAGGAUACGUGACUAAGUAUGUGUGUGUCACUUUUAGCUCGGGGCUUCUGGGCCUUAUUUCUGAAUUGCGUGGUAUCUUCAGCAAUAGGGACUUAACUUUCACCCCUGGCUGAGGGUAACCUAGGGCAAUCAAUAGCAGGGGGCCGUGUGCUAGACAGCUCUGGCCAACAACUCAAAAGAGGGCUUCUCAUGGUUGGUCCUGGGAAUUUUGGUAGGUGGUCUUGAACUUUUGGAGGGAGUGCUGUCAGCCUAGAUGAGAAAAGUUCAAUAAAAUUAUAAAUAUGUAUUUGUACAAUGAGUUAUGGCACAUUUUGUUUUCUAUGGCAGUAUUCAUAGCGGAUCAAACUCUGCUCACGUUUAGACUGUGCUGUGAGUGGACUGUCUUUGUUUUCUGUUCUCUCUAGAAGCCUUCAGAGAAGGUUUAGUUAAUCACAGGGCACAAUUUUUGUGACAUUUUACUUGUGGUACCUAGCACAAUAAUUAAAAUAUAUUGCUUGGCUAUUGAAACAAUAUUUUUUUUAUUACAGAGUUAAAACUGUCGUCUGGAAAGAAACUCUAUUAUUUAAAAAUGAAUAUUAUUUGGUAAAUAACUUAAAAUUUAAAAGAAUAGCUUCAAAUGGAAGGAUAUUGAUACAUUGCUUUGUGGAUCAGUUUUCUGACCUUUUGUCCUCUUGGAUCUGAAAGACCAUUAAUACAAAGUUGAACUUGUGGGAAAAUGACAAGAAUUUCCUCUUAAGUUCUUGUUUUUGGGCAGGCUUGCAUUUACCUGUGUAGUUUUGUAUGUUGUUACUUUUGAUGGAACACAAAUGUUGCAAUUACUCUACAGUGUUUUUAUUCAGUAGAGAAGUGUUACCUUUUCUCUGUGCAAGCUAGAGAUGUUUGAGGGUAAGAAUAACCCAGCGCGUAGGGGAGGGAGGUAUCCAGUGUGACUGACCUAAGAGAUUUUUGCUAAAUUGCUUUCCUGAAGGUUGGAUCUUACUGUGAAAUGUGCACCCAGCCCUUUUGUAGCCCUUUGUAUUUUUGUAUUUCUUCCUGGGCCCAGAGGAACAUCAAGGGAGUUUUUGUGAAGCCAGCAGAGGGCGCAUAUCUGAUGCUCUUGUACUUGAAAACAGGACUGAGUGAAUUUUUUUGAAGCAACUUGAAAACAGGACUGAGUGUAUUUUUAAGGGUUCUUCAUCAAAGCUCCUCCCUUCCCUCAACAUUCUUUUUUUUUUUUUAAAUUGUGAUUUAAAAAAACCAUUGUGAAAUAAAAUCAGAUGAAAAAAUGUUUUAAAGGAUUUGUUGUCAAAUCUGACAGUUGGUUUUCUCCCUAAGUUGGAGAACAUCAAUUUAGAGACAAGCAUCUUACUGGGUAGCCCUGGCUAGCCUGGAAUUUGUUAUGUAAACCAGUCUUGACUUCAAACUCAUAGAUAUCCACCUGCCUCUGCCUCCCUAGUGCUAAGAUUAAAAAUGUGCACUACCACUCCAGGUCUGUGAUCUAGACAUUUUUAAAGAAAGAGUGAAAUUGAACAAAAAUUGUGGCUUAUUCAAGUGGUAUUUAUUUUAUAUUUAUGACAUUUAAUUAAAGAAGGGUAACUGCUUUUAACCAUUUUAAAUUAAAUUAUAGUAAUGACUGUGCUUUAGUUCAUGUUAUGAAUUUGAAGUUCAAACGGUAUAGGGAACAAAGUUACAAUUCUGAAUCUUAUUCUCUUUUUAAAUUUUUUUUCCCCUUUAUGUGUUGUGUGUUGGCUCAGGUGUCAUUUUAGGAGCUUUGACCUACUUCCCCUGAGACAAGAUCUCUCUCUGGCCUGGGCCUCACUGUCUCUGUCUCCCAGUGCUGGGGUUACAGGGUGUGGCCUCCCAGCUGCCGUUCCCUGUGGAUUUCUGGUUCUAGGAUUGGACUCAGCAUCCUGUGCUUGUGAUGCCCAUGGAUCUUGUGCUGUUAAAGGGAACCAAGUGCAGUGGUGGGGCUUGUUACACUGUUCAAGCAGAUCUGCCCUUAACCCCCACUGAGUCUUUCUUAACCUGUCUUCUCCAGAGCGGGGGAAGAGUUUCUGGCAUAGAGAAAUUUAACCCUCUUUUAACCUUAUAAAAGCGUUAAAAAACCCCAUUAAUGCUUAUUUCAACCCAGAAGUGCUUGCUUUCUGGGUGUCUUAGGGUUUUCGUUGUUGUGAAGAGAUACCAUGACCAUAGCAAUCCUUAUAAAAGGGCAACAUUAAAUCAAGCUAGCUCACAGUUUCAGAAGUUUAGGCCAUUGUCAUCUGGUGGGAUGCAUGUCUGCAUGCAGCAGACUCGGUGCUGGAGGAGCUGAGAGGUCGUCUACAUGUUGACCCGAAGGCAGCCAGGAGGAGGCUCUGGAUCACACUGGCCAGACUUGAGCGUAGAUAUUUGAGACCCCAAAACCCCGCCUCCACAGUGACACACUUUCUCUAACAAGGCUGCACUUCUCCACUAAGACCACACUUCUAAUAGUGCCACUUCCCAUGGGCCAAGCAUAUUCAGACCACAAACUGGGGGUGUUUCUAUUUGACCAGCUGCUGCUGGCUACUUUGUGUUGCUAAUGCUGGCUGUGUAAUUGCUUUCUCAGUUAGUACACAGUGUACCUCUUUUUCAGCCUAAAUCAAGCAAGGCCUUGUCUUCAGAACCUUGACUGAAAAGACGAGAGUGAUGGCUGGGGGCAGGGCCGAGGAAGUGCCCCACAUGCACCAUGGGCAAACCUUAUGUACUCAUGUACUGAGGGUAAAGACUCGGCAUGGGGAGAUGGAAGGGGAGCUGCUUGGCGUGGGUUGACCCUGCUCCACUCAUUCAGGGUGGCUUGAGAGAACAUGAAGCACUUGGGUGGUAAAAGCACUAGCAUCAAGAAAGGCCCCACGGACACACGGCCCUCGGGGAGCACUGUGCUUGCUGUGGACACCUAGAGAAAUGGUGACUGCUCACAACUGUACAUGUCUCACGAGGGCACGGCCCACAAACGGAUGAACCGUAAGAGUCUCAGAGGGAGACCAUGCUAGAAAAUUGUGAGUUCUACAUGAUACCUUUUUAUUGGUUUCUAAAGUAUGUUCCCUACAGGAAUUAUAGCCAUUGUCAGCCUUAAAAAAAAAAAAAGUCACUUUACCUCCCUCUUUUAAAAAGGGCAUAAAGCCAGAAAUAGUGAGAAAUUCUGUCUUUCUGUAUUCAUUCUUACAGGUUACUACUUUAAAAAUUUAUUUUGGUUUUCUUAGCCAUUUGAGCACUUAGACCAAGAGUACAUGUAUGUUCUGAGAGUCUUGAUUCAGACGGUCAAAAAAUGGGUAUUUGAAUUUUUGUCAUUGCUAAAGGUCACAUUUUGCUUAGAUGUAAUCCAGUAUAUUCAUGGAUUAUAUAGAUUAGAGUCAGUCCUAGGCAUCCUUUUAUGUGUGACAAACGGCGUUACAGUAUUUGUGCCCCCCCCAAAAAACAUUUUUUACUCAGGUUUAAAAUUUCUGUUAAAUAUUCACAUUUGAUGGUUGCUUUCCAUCUGAUCAGUACAGUAGCAUGGAGAUUGAAUUUGUUUGUCUCACAUUAACCCUGGGGGUCAUAAAUACAGGCCAGCAUUUCUUGGUUGUUUUUGAACACUGAUGUGUAGGAUUAUGUGCAUGCAUUAAGAUUCUUUUUCUUUGAAUUACAGCGUGCAGCUGCAAGGCAGUAAGAACUAAAGUGCUGCAGCUCUGAAGGGCAUCUCCAAAUAUGACAUCUUCAUUACGUUUGUUUACAGCCUCAUUUUCAAAACAGAUAAUCACCAUCUCUGCUUUUUUUUUUUGAACCUCUUUAACAAGGAUUCCUUCCUUCUGCUGUUCUAAUUCUGUUUAUUCAGGCUUGGUUUCUAAGCAACCAAGAUGAUAUAUGGCUAGGCAUGUGUAUAUAUAGCAUUUCAGUGAUUGCAUAGCUUGGCUUUGAAACCCCUAGUAAUCAUCUUUAUAAAAGGGCAGGGCGAUGUCCACAUUGUUGUCAAUAUCUGUGCUUAGAUAAUGUUUUAGAUACGUUUUAAGUUUACGUUGCUCCUAACUAGUAGGUGGUAGAAUUAUACAGGUUUGUUGUUGUUGUUUGUUUGUUUUUAGCAGUGUAAAUGGUUCAAGGAAAUAAACUGGUAAUACAAGUCUAUAAAAGACACAGGUUGUAUCAUCACAGACCCAUGCUUUACUUUUCUUGAAGUAGAGAAUUCAGUGUGAAAAUGUUGAUUUGCUGUGUGUAGAUCUUCUCCCUAUCGAAAAUAUUCAUUAAAAAUUACCAAAAACCGGACAAAGUCUCUGCCAAUUAUCCUAAGGCUAGGCAGUAAAUGGAAAAAUUCUUACUUAAGAUGAGAACCAGGAGGGCUGGAGAGAUGGCUCAGAGGUUAAGAGCACUGACUGCUCUUCCAAACGUCCUGAGUUCAAAUCCCAGCAACCACAUGGUGGCUCACAACCACCUGUAAUGAGAUCUGACACCCUCUUCUGGUUUGUCUGAAGUCAGCUACAGUGUACUUAUGUAUAAUAAUAAUAAACCUUAAAAAAAAAUGAUGAGAACCGGGAAGGUCUACUGAUCUUGAUGAGAACAGCAUGAGUUUGGGCAUUUGAAUGGCCACCUUCUUUUACCAGCUGUUCAGGUGAGUUCAUGGGCUCACUGGACCGUUUGUUCUGGUCAACUCCGAGUCUAGGAAUACCACUGGCCCCAGGAGGACAGAUAACAAGCACUUCUUAUCAUUAACUCUGCUCCAUAUAUGCCCUAUUCUGGACGGACUUAAGCCAUCUCAUAAGGAAGAAGAUGUAAGAUCAGUAUUGAUCUUCUUUGUAAUAUAUUACAACCUUUUCUGUCUUGGACAGACAUUUCAUUUAGCUGUAUGUAUUGUAUGACCGACUAAGAGAAUAUUCUAAACCUGGGAGAAGGCUCCACACUCGGAGUAUAGUGUGUUCUGCUGUCUCGAUGCCUUCUCUUUCUUUCUCUUUCUCUUUCUCUUUCUCUUUCUUUCUCUCUCUCUCUCUCUCUCUCUCUCUCUCUCUCUCUCUCUCUCUCUCUCUCUCUCUCUCUCUCUCUCUCUCUCCCUCUUUGCUGCUCUUUUAGUGAAUAGAAAACAUAGGUAGCCCAUGACUGUUUCUUUCCUACAGGUUUAUCAGGUUUAAUUCGUAAGAAAAUACAAACUAUCAGAGGUGAAGAGAAAGUAUUUUUAGUGUUUGAGUGAUAACCAAGCCUCGUGGACUUAUGAACUUCCUGGCGUAUGCCCUCAUCUUGGGUUUUUCAAACUGCAGUAUGUAUCAUUCUGAGCAGGGUUUGUGCAGUUGGUAUAUUCUGGCCAAUUAAAGAGGAUAAACAUACCCACAGUGCAGAAAUAAACCAUGAACAUAACCUAAAAGGCCAGCUCCCACCACUGUCUGGUGUACAAUUUGUACUAAACAUAUUCAUCCUCAAAAUACCAACAGCAAACAGACCCGCUUCUUUAACCUGGUGCGGUACUCAUUUGACCUGAGGCAUGUAGAGCAUAUCAUACAUAGCUACAUCUACACAGUUGUAUAAUUUUAUCUUUUUUGUUUUAAGAUAAGUGUGUUGUUCUUGUUUAACAAGCAUCAUAGUCAUCACCAAUACUAUUUUAAAGGUGGGUACUUGGGUAAGCUCUUAACAUUUUAAACUUUUUUAUGUGUUUAGAUGUUUAGUCUGCAUGUGUGUCUAUGUGCAUGUAGGCUAUGUAAGGUGUCAGAUACCCUAGAACUGAAGAUACAGACAGCUGUGAGCUGCCAGGCAGGUGCUGGGAAUCCAACCCAGGUCCUUUGGAAGAGUGACCAGCACUCUUAACCACUUAGCCAUCUCUCCAGCCCCUUGGAAUAAGCAACUUUUGAUAUGUUUUCUCCAUGAUAAUGAACUUAGGUGAUACUGAUAACACAAUUGAAAAACCAGAGUAGACAGAUAAAAGAUAUUUAAUUUUAGUAUUGACAAAGGAAACACCCAUAUCCAGACUAUUGUGGGACUGUCAUUAGGAUGGACCCAGAUAGGGUUCCCACACGCUACUGCUGACGACACUUGUUAACUAGAAAGAGGGCUCUGUGAGCCCUUUCCUUGUCAGGUUUCCUUAGGGUAGAUGUGCAGCUUGUGCCAGUUGUUCUGGAGACUAGCCAGAUGCUGUGCAAAUGCACAAGGUGUGGUAGCAUAUUGUCUUUAAUUCCAGCACUCUCGGGCCAGCCUGGUUUACAUAGAGUUUCAGGUCAGCCAGGGCUAGAUCAUGUCUCAAAUCACAACCAAAUCAAUAUGUGUGUAAGUGACAAGAGCCUGUAACUCAGUUUUUAAAUGUUUAUUGCAAACAUCGUGUGAAUCAGAAAUAAGGUACAUAUAUAACUUUAAUCCUUUCUGACAGGGAGUGGCUUUUUCUUCAUAGGAUCUAGAUUGUACUAGCCACUAGGGAGGGCAGGAUACACUGUAAGUGCAGGAUAGCAGAAAGGUUGGGUGGAGCAUAAAGGCAGAGUCCACAUAGGAGAGUGGCAUUUCUGGAGCAGCUCAGUGGCAGAACACUGGGUUCCUGCUUCCAAGUGCUUUGGGCUUUUACACGCCAUUCUGUCCCUUUCUCCCACUGCCAUUUUAAAGAUGUGUAAAGACUCCCAGAGGAGACUCUGUUUCUCUCUUCCCCUGUUGAUGGCUCAUUCUGCUUUUUGUUAGAGAGAAAGGCUGAGGUGAUAACACUGCAGUCAUUUGAUUGCAAUCAAAGUGGAGAAGCAGGGCCACUUGAAAGAGCCUUUCCAAGGGAGACUUAAGCAAAUGUACCAUUUUAAUUAGGAUUGGAGAGAAUACUCCCAGCAAUGGUAACAGCUGUGAUAUUUUCCAAUGGUCGAGUUGAACCGAGGCUCCUAGGAUGGACGGUCUUCUGAGAGAGGACCAUUGAGUAUGUCAGAUGGACAUUCAUCUGAGAGGUCAAUUGCAAGUCGUUUCUCUAUUUGAUGGUUUGCUUUCAUCAUUUCUGGCAUGAUUUAUGUGAUGUAGAACUGUCAGUGGUUCCUCUGAUACCAGUAGACCUUCAUAGCCAUUUGUCUGUGCCAGAUAAACUUAGUCUUUCAUGUUUUGGAUGUCAUUCUAGAUGCAGAAGUCUUGAAAGCAAGGCUGACCACAGACAGGCUGGAUGCAGUCUUUGUCUCUUGAAGCUGUCAGGUCACACCCCGGGUUAAACUCAGGUUUGAAGCUCAGGCCCAUUGGGGUCUGGCUGGGUUAGCCAGAGUGAAACAGUAAAAGUAAAACCACAGACUUACAGGGGCAGGUCUGGAGUAGGCUGGGAUCAGACAUGUAUCAGGUUUCUUAGUCUGGGAUCAACAGGCUCUAUGCUUAGGUCUCUGAAUUUUACAAAGAAUUUCAAAUCACGUAUUCCCCUCUGUUUCUUUGUAUAUUACUAAACAAUACGUUUUUAAAAGAGAAUAUGAGGUCUGCCUUUAUAAGUAUAUGGUUUCUUUGAAAUUCACUUCCUUAUGAAAGGACAGUCUAGAAGCAUAUAGGGAUUAUUUGGAAAGUAUUCCAUGAUACCACAGUUUGGAGAAUUGUGUCUGAUAGUGGUUCGCAGCAUGUUGAAGGUUGAAGCAGUCUAGAACCAGCUUCAAAAUAUACACAUGCCGUGCAGUGACUUCAGUGACUUUACUCUUUACAGAUUGUCAUUUUUCAUUUGUUUUGUUUUCCAAGGUAGGGUUUUUCUGUGUUGCCCUGGCUAUCCUGGAACUUGCUGUGUAAACCAGGCUGUUCUCAACUAACAGAGAUUCGCUUGCCUCUGCCUUCUGAGUGAAGGAUUAAAGGUGUGUGCCACCACAUCUGUCUUCAUACCCAUUUUUUAUUAUUCCUUUGUUGAGGAUUUUUUUUUAGCUUAAUGAUUUGCUUCACAAGGUGCAAGAAGAAUAUGAUAUUCAUAAAGUAGAAUUAUUCUCAGAAGUUUGAGUAUAUUAAACAUGUAUAUUUUAGCACAGAUAUGUAAAACCCAGCAUCAAAGAAAAGCUAGUUUUAGUGUACAACAUGCAAUAGAAUACCACUUCUAUAAAAUGUGAACUCAGACCUCGAGUGCACAGAUAAUGCAGAUGUAAAUGUGUGGCCUUCAGGGAUGCUCUCCAGCAUCAUGGUGAUGACUGUUAGAACAAACUUUCUGAUAACACAUGUGUGCAGAGCAGAUAUGCAGAUCUCAGACUCUGGUCUGGGUUAUGGACCGAUGGCAUUUGUCAUAUUCUUUGUUUUAUUUUAAAUAGUAUUGAAGACCAUGCAUAUGUAAAAACAAGAGUAACAACAAAACCCUGAUGCGACUUUAGAGAGAGCACCAUCCUUCUUCAUCCGCUCGCUUGCAUGCGAGCAGUUCUGUCUGCGUUUCAUUUUGAGAUGUGAGAAAAUGAACAUGCAGAUUCUAGAAGGAAAACCUAAGAUCACUUAUUUCUAUGCAGAGGUAGUACACCAAAGAGAGUGGUUUGUGAGCCCACCUUUCCUGCUGUUGCCAUGUCUACACAUGCACCUUGGCCUCUUCUACAGAAAAUCAUGGUUGUCAGCGAGCGCUACAGAGAGUGUUGAUGUGACCGUUCUUGUCAGACUCAUCUUUAAAAAGAAUCAGAAACUUAUAUGUGCUUUAACAUUUUUAAUUCUGGAAAGUUUUAAGAUGAGUUUAUCAUUUUAGCAGAUGAUGUUAUGACUUGACUUCAGAACACUUCACCAUGCAAUUCUGAAAUCCCAUCCCAUCAAACAGUUCCCCGCUCUCUUCUCCAAGAUCCUGACAGCUACCAUUCCUGCAUCUGCCUCUGAGCUUCUCUACUCUAAGUACCACAUGUAAACAGAACCAUUCACCACGAUUCGUUGUGUGUGUGUGUGUGUGUGUUAGAGAAAGGGGGAUGCUUAUUUCAUUUAACAUAUGUCCAUAUGUUCAGUCAUAUAGCUUUUUUAGGGCUGCUGUUCAACAUCCCAUUGUAUUCAGGUAGCAAUCUUUAUUUUAUCUCAGUAGAUGUUCUAGUUGCUUCCAUGCAACACAAAAGAGCAAAACCUAUCAAGGUGCUUCCUACAUUUCCUUCCUGUAGGCUGAGCAGUUAUUUUACUGUUUCAUCAUUCUGUGUGUAUGUGCACUUGCACAUGUGCCCCCCCCCCCAGCCCCCGACCUGGCCUUGUAGAUAGUCGUGGGCUACCAUGUGGACUUGAGUCCUCUGCAGAAGGGACCAGUACCUUAACCAGUGAGAUACCGCUCCAGCCUCCCUCUGCUUUCUUCUUUAAAGGUGGAUGCUGCCUUUGAUAAUGCUUUUAGGAUUAAAAAUAAACCCCAAGCCAAGACUUAAGACUCUGCUGUAGAUAAUUCUAUAAGUUAUUUGCUCCGGAAUCAAAUAUAAAAAAAACAUAUUUUGUGAAAUUAUUUAGUCUUGUCAAACAGCUAGGCAGAAUAGCUUUUCUUUGUACCUGGUUAUGGGCAUCUUAACAAAAGCUAGUACAGUAAAAACCCAUUCCAAAGUCUUUAACUGGCCCUUCUCAUUACAACUCAUAAGCCAGAUUUGCUCCUCUUCCUGAGUUCUUCUGUGGUGCAGGCAGUGGGCUGCAGGGCUUCACAGGCUAGCUAAGGACACUGUUGUAAGCUCACCACGAACUGUUCUAUCCAAACCGACCUGGCCCACUGAACACUAUACUCCUGUGUGUGAUAGUUACUCCAUGAGUCUCGAUGGGGGUAAUUGCUUACAUUAAGCAUUUCUGCUGCAAUUUUAAUUCGUGUGACACAGGACUGAUGAACACUUUACAUUAGUGUUCUGGGGUGGCAUGCCUCCUGUCGGAACUGAGCGGCAUUGGCCUCUGGCUGUCCUGCAGAACUUGAGCGCAAGAGUGCUCCAGCCUCAGUUCACUCCUGACUGUAACGACCGAGCAAGGACUUUGCUGAAGAGUGUGAUUUUCCUUGUCAAGAAGAAAGAUGAGUAGACUUUGUCAGGUUGAUAAAUUCAGGUUAGAGAGGAAGCUGGGGAUGUGUUCCACCUUCCUGCUGUGCUCGGCCUUUCAUCUGAGUUUGUACCACAGCAUCACACACACACACACACACACACACACACACACACACACACAGCCAAGUGAACCUGGAUGGGAGCCUUGGGGCUGCUUGUAUUUGGGAGCUUCCCCCCCCCCCCGCCCCCCUUGAUGGCAUUUGAAGAUGCAACGGUAAUUACUCUUUGUUUUCUGGGCUUACUGUUUUAGAUAUAUAUGAUUUGUACUGAGACAGUUGAAGGAUGGACUAUGCAGAGAAUUACACUCCUCAGCUGCCUCUGGUCAUUGUGUCUGUCUAGUACUUUCAGAACAUUUUUGGAUCUAUUACUUAAACCUGACACAUCUUGACUUAAAACCUAUUCAGUUCUAUUUAGCUGAUGCUUCUUCUGCCUGUGUUCUUUGGCUGGCUGGACAUGUAAAGUAAGUGUGUGUGUGUGUGUGUGUGUGUGUGUGUGUGUGUGUGUUGGGGGGUAGUCCUCCAUAACUAUGAUCUCUCAUUAGAAAUUCUAAUAUCCUGUCUGAUAAUUCUGUGUGUUGUUGUCUGCUCUGAAAGAGACAAUGGGAUGUGUAGCCCUGGCCCCUCGUGGAGCCAGGCCAUUCCCAUGGUCAUUGUAUUCCCCACUUACGUACAGUUCCCGGUGUUAAUGGGGGCCAUUUUAGAUGCCUUUCUCACAGAUCACCCACAAUAAAAAGUGAGAUUUUUGAUCCUUUUGAUUUUCAUGACCUGUUUCUAAAGCAAAAGUAAACAAUGUUAAGCUUGUUAUGCAUGUGAUUUACAGGCGCUCUAGUGAGAACAAUAGCUUUUUCCUUUUUAUUUUCAAGACAGGGUUUCUCUGGGCUGGCUGUCCUGGACUCCAUUUGUAGACCAGGCUGGCCUCGAACUCAAUAGAGAUCUGCCUGCCUCUGCCUCCCAAGUGCUGGGAUUAAAGGUGUGCACCACCACACCCUGUUUGACUUUCUCUUUUGAAAUAAAGAAAUCUGCACAGAGGGAAAAGUCACAGGCUUAACAAGAUUAAGAGAUUCUUACUCAGAAAUGCAUAGCCUUGAUGUCUGUCUAUAGUUCAGGGUUAGUUGGCUGUCUACUGAACUUCCCAUGAUUCAAAGCAGAAUCAGAGUUUAAUAGUGCGACCAUCAAAUGGGCUCUUAAUGUAAGAGGAUAAGUAGCAUAUAGGUUUUUGUUUGUUUUGUUUUGUUUUGCUUUGCUUUGCUUUAGAAACAGCCAACAAAUGGUGUGUUUCAGUAGCUGCUUAUACCAAGGACCUUAUCUGUGAAAGCUGAGGACCGAUGGCGAGGACUUGAGUGUCUCUUACCUUCUCCAUUAGCCAACAUUACCAUAAGCCCCUUAUCUCUGAUGCAAGAGUUAAGCUAUUGGACUGCAUUGAGUAGCCGUGAGCAAUCCUGAGAGUUUAACCUCAUAGGACACACUCACUCUGUAUACUACUGACAGCAAACGGAAUUUGCUUUAAAGAUGAUUUCAGGUGGAUAAUGUCUACCUCUCCCACUCAGUAUGCCUUAUUCACAUUCGCAAAUAAAGUAUAGCACCAGUACUUUAGUUUAACCAGUUUUACUUGUUUUAAGUGAAAUUUAUAUAAACUAGAUUGGAUUAGGUAUAAGGUACUUACUAGUAUCUAAAGACAUCUUGUUUUCGCUUUAUAGUAAACUUUACAUGUUUUAAUGCAUUCAUUUAGUAGCUUGAGUUGCAGACAGACAUAACCAAAGUAAGGUCAAUAUAGUAUGACUAAAACUAAAACACAAAGUUUACAAUUCCAGUUCAGACAAUCAGUUGUAGAAUUUAUAAGCUCUCUGUUGCCUGGAAACCAUGGUUGUUAGAAAGGAGAUUUCUUGUCAGUAAGCAAGUGUUGGUUGCUACACUCACUCACUCAUUCUCUCACUCAGAUGCGUAAGGUCCUAAUAGAAUGUAAUGAUCCUGAUAGAAACUUUAGAUUAUUUCCUCUUCACACAUCAAAGUCACGAUCAGAAUCACUUGCAACGGCCCGAUUUGAGACUUGGCUUACUCUAAACCCCAUCUGAUUUCCUUUAGGCUCCUUUUGUCUAUGAUACUCUUGAAAAUAAAACAGCUAUAUUCUUUUCUUUGAGAUGAAAAUGUGCCUGUACUCAUGAACAGUCCUGUGUACAAGAGUUCCUAAGAUUCUGUGCAGAGCUCCUGUGCACAGGCCCCGUGCUGCUGGAGCUCCUGGGUGUCUGCUGCUCUUCUCAGCACUGUGCUGCUUCCAGGACAUAGUCAUCUGGCUUUCUGCUGCUGUUGGUUCAGUUUUGAGAUUGCCAUUGAUGACAGCAUCUCUCUUCCCUUUUCUCCUUUGAGACAUUCCCUUAAACCCAUCCCUACUCUUCUGUAUAUUCAUUGCUUCUUUUUCCACUGGUUGUCACUAUAUGCAUGUAUGUAUUUGUAUAUACAUCUAUAUUCGCAAAUAUAACCUGUUUAGUCAGUGUAAUGCUACUUCUAUGUAUAUUUUCAGGGCUGACCAUUUGGCACAGGGCAGUUUGGUGUGCUCCUCCCUGGUGAGGACUGUCCUCACUAGGCAAGUUGAUGGUUGUCCUCAUUUGAACCAUUUGAUGGAACCAUUUGAACAGUCAUGUUGGUGAGACUUUAUGGGUAUAGUUUCUUUUGUUCCUAAGAGACACAGUCUCACAGCUAAUUCCUUGAUCCUUUGACUCUUCCAGGCUUCCUGCCCUCUCUUUCUUCUCUAGCAUUCACGGGGCUUAGGUAUGAGAAUGUGUUGUCGAUGGCCAUGGGACCGGCCUCCACAACUCUGCACAUUGGUUAGCUGUAGUUCUCUGUAGUGGCCUUUGUCUGUUGCAAAGAGAAGUUUCCUUGAUGAGGGGUGAAUUACCUGGGGAUACAAGGACAGGUAUUUGUUGUUGUAGUUAGAAUUAUGCUGGUUUAGUAAAUUAGUGGUUGUAGAUUCUCCUCCAAUAAUCAGGAUUUCACUAGCACUGACUUUUUUAACCAAUAAAAUGUGAAUGAGGAGCUCAUGCCAUUUAAGGCCAGAAAUAUUAAGAGCCAAGGUGUGGUCCUAUGUCUCUCCCAUUCUCUUAACACCAGAGCACUCUGAUCAGGACCAAUCAUUCACCUGGUCUGGACUACAGAUUGUAGAGCUCUGUCUACUCUCAGUAGAUCUAUGAAAUGAACGUAACUGACAGACCAUGAAACCUCUAUAUUUUAGGGUCAUUUGUUAGUUUAGCUUAGAGUGACUGCAAUAAGAUCCUUGAAGUUCUUAGAUACUCAAAACCUAGAGGAUAUGUAUGUAUGUAUGUAUUUGUAGUUGGUCAUUAAAGUGUGUUCAUGAUUCCAUACUGCAGUUUGGGUCCUGAACACUGAGUAUGAGUGCUGAGGGAAUGAGAAACACGGGAAAGCUGGGUGCCACCUCUAACCAAGGGUCCCUGCUCUUGCCAUCUCUGGAACGUGAUGUGGUUUAUUAGGUCCAAGCACAGGGGGAGAGGUGAGCUGAUGUCUGUAGGAGGUCUCUGUAGAGAGCAAUCACAGGCUGACAAGCACUGACUGGCUGUCAUAAACACUCCUACUUUAACCAGAAGGCUUUUCAGACUUCCAGCCUGGCCCGACUCAGCCUCACAGUGAUUUGCUCAGUAGAUAAGAUAGUCUUUCUCCUAGAAAAAGGAUACUGAAACAGGAGCUCAGUGGUUUGCCUGAGGUCAUAUAACUAUCGAGAGGAGAGAGGAAGAGCCAGGCUUUGAACUUAGCAUGCAUGCCCCUGAAGACCAUUUCAAGGCAGGAUGCAGAAUAGCUGUGUAACAGUUUUCUUCACUACUAUAAGUGUAGACUAUUCAGCUGAGAAAACACGGGCUUUUCUUUUUCUUGUGCCUCUUUGUAAGUACCAUGGAACUCUUUAUUAGAUCAUGAAUUUCAUAGACUGUAAAUUCUGCCACACAAACAGCCUUGAUAUUGUGAAAAUCAUUGUAGCCUUUUCUAAACAAAACCCAGUACAUCUAUAUAUAUACAGCAAAAAAUAAUUAAUUAAAAAACCCAUCACUCAUUUUUUAAAAAAGAACUGUUAGCAAACAUAUUAUUUCAUUCUUUAAAACAAUUUCUUUUGGUUAAGUCAUUAGUUGGCCUAUUUAUUUCUGGGAAAAAGCUUAUUCUUCUUAAGUUUACCAUGCUUGGUCAUGUUUGAAUAGAUGAAUAGUAAUUUGUGCUGAACAUUUCACAAGUUUAAGUGAAAGUGCACUUAACCCAUCCCACUUGAUGUGACGUGCACGCCUCGUCAGUGACAGGCACUCCACGAGAUGGCGAUGAGUGAGGAUGUGGGUGAGGAUGCUGAGACCUGUCACAAAUGGAAGCUCAAAUAAAGAGGAGAUGCUGGUGGGCGGGUGCUGUCUCUGUUGCCUGCUACCACCAUCCUCCCUCUCCCUAGAGGGGGAAGCCCCCCUGGGAAUUUCUUUGUCAUUUCUCCUGUCACUUCUACAUGGCCAAAUGAAGGGUUAUGCUAAAUGUGGUGGCAUGUGUCUGUGAAUCCAGCAUUUGGGAGGCCAAAGAAAGAAAAUUGCUCUUGAGUUCAAGCCUGCAUGUUGGGUUUUGAGCCAGCCUGCGUUCAGAACAAAUGGUUAGUGCCAUAAGAACUGGAUACAGCUAUAAAACUAUGCUAUAGAAAGAGGGAUAACCUUUCCUUUCUAACUGACUUCCAAAUGCUUUCUUAGUUCUUUAUGGGAUGUCUUUUAUGGUGCAUUUGAAGCCUUGGGCUUGAGCUGACACUGAGCCACACCCUUAGUAACAAACAGAAGACUUAAAACAUAGCACAAGAUUUUAACUUGACUGUGUUGCUUUACUAAUUUUUCCACUGUACAUGUGUAGGACUCUUGUUGAGCUGUAUAUAUGUAUUCAUAUAUUAUCAAGUAUACAUUUUUGUGACUAAAUUAAGGUCCUAACAGUCAAAAUUUGUAUUUUCCAUUUUUUGAAAUUGGUGCAUAUUGUGCUUUAAUCCAAGCGGCAAGUGUGUCUCUGGUGCAUGUUACAAUAAUACUAACGGACUGUUAGAUGUUAAUUUAUGCCUUGUAAAUCAGAAACGGUGUAGUCUGCACAAUGAGUGCCGUAUAGGGACAGCUUCCCUGCAGACACCUGUGCGGGUUCACACUCUGAGCAGUCUUCUGCCUGGGUGUGAAGAAUUUCUGUCCUGUAUAAUUUCAGUGAGAAACCAGAUUAUAAAAUACAUUUAAUUGCUAAUCAUAACAAACCUUGUCAGCUUCGUGCAUUGUUGACUGUGUUUCGAAAACAGUGUUUGGCUUAAGAGCCAGUCUAAGACAGUCUCUGUUCUCCAGGACAAGUUGGCAGCUUUGUGUUGGAAUCUAUGCACAUCAGGAGGCAACUUUAGAGACUUUCUGAGUCCUGUCAGGACUGGUUUUACCCAUAUUGAAUGUUUGAAAAGACCCCCCCCCUCCCAGGUUUUUCUGUUUUCUGUUUGUCUGUCUGUCUUUUAAGUACAGGAAUAAGUUGUAAAAACCAGGCAUUUGCUUUUUGACAGGGAUGCUUAAUGUUUAUACUGUGGAUAGAAGCAUUCUUGCUUCUUAUAAAUAAAUUUUAUAACAAUUUAAACUCCAUUAGUGUCUAAAGAAAUUAAUACCUUUAAAC
Mus musculus (house mouse) is the source of this 21189-nucleotide long non-coding RNA. RefSeq annotates it as predicted gene, 53994. The transcript has 2 exons. The record is from RefSeq and is a predicted model, not a curated record. Lineage: Eukaryota; Metazoa; Chordata; Mammalia; Rodentia; Muridae.